This 433-nucleotide ribosomal RNA is filed under the name uncultured bacterium. Its description in RNAcentral is "partial 16S ribosomal RNA". It matches the Rfam family "Bacterial small subunit ribosomal RNA", at positions 29 to 507 of the family's 1533-position model. The record is from RNAcentral.
AACGAACGCUGGCGGCAUGCCUAACACAUGCAAGUCGAACGAGACCUUCGGGUCUAGUGGCGCACGGGAGCGUAACGCGUGGGAACCUGCCCUUAGGUUCGGAAUAACUCCCCGAAAGGGGUGCUAAUACCGGAUAAUGUCUUCGGACCAAAGAUUUAUCGCAUUUGGAUGGGCCCGCGUUGGAUUAGCUAGUUGGUAGGGUAAAAGCCUACCCAGGCGACGAUCCAUAGCUGGGCUGAGAGGAUGAUCAGCCACACUGGGACUGAGACACGGCCCAGACUCCUACGGGAGGCAGGAGUGGGGAAUAUUGGACGAUGGGCGAAAGCCUGAUCCAGCAAUGCCGGGAGAGUGAUGAAGGCCUUAGGGUUGUAAAGCUCUUUUACCCGGGAUGAUAAUGACAGUACCGGGAGAAUAAGCGCCGGCUAACUCCGUG